UAAGCGGAGGAAAAGAAACUAACAAGGAUUCCCCUAGUAACGGCGAGUGAAGCGGGAAGAGCUCAAAUUUGAAAUCUAGUAGCCUUCGGCUGCUCGAGUUGUAAUCUAGAGAAGUGUUUUCCGUGCCGGCCCAUGUACAAGUCCCUUGGAACAGGGCGUCAUAGAGGGUGAGAAUCCCGUCCUUGACAUGGACCCCCGGUGCUCUGUGAUACACUUUCAACGAGUCGAGUUGUUUGGGAAUGCAGCUCAAAAUGGGUGGUGAAUUCCAUCUAAAGCUAAAUAUUGGCGAGAGACCGAUAGCGAACAAGUACCGUGAGGGAAAGAUGAAAAGCACUUUGGAAAGAGAGUUAAACAGUACGUGAAAUUGUUGAAAGGGAAACGAUUGAAGUCAGUCAUGCUCUUUGGUAUUUAUAUCAUUGAGUGGGGUCAACAUCAGUUUUGAUCGAUGGAUAAAGGCACUAGGAAGGUAGCACUCUCGGGUGAACUUAUAGCCUGGCGUCAUAUACAUUGAUUGGGACUGAGGAACGCAGCAUGCCUUUAUGGCCGGGAUUCGUCCACGUACAUGCUUAGGAUGUUGACAUAAUGGCUUUAAACGACCCGUCUUGAAACACG
This 612-nucleotide ribosomal RNA is filed under the name Naganishia liquefaciens. Its description in RNAcentral is "eukaryotic LSU rRNA". It matches the Rfam family "Eukaryotic large subunit ribosomal RNA", at positions 47 to 663 of the family's 3401-position model. Lineage: Eukaryota; Fungi; Basidiomycota; Tremellomycetes; Filobasidiales; Filobasidiaceae. The record is from RNAcentral.